AUUGAACGCUGGCGGCAGGCCUAACACAUGCAAGUCGAACGAGUGGCGGACGGGUGAGUAAUGUCUGGGAAACUGCCUGAUGGAGGGGGCUAACUACUGGAAACGGUAGCUACUACCGCAUACCCUCGGAUGUGCCCAGAUGGGAUUAGCUAGUAGGUGGGGUAACGGCUCACCUAGGCGACGAUCCCUAGCUGCUCUGAGAGGAUGACGAGCCACACGGGAGCUGAGUCACGGUCCAGACUCCUACGGGAGGCAGCAGGGGGGAAUAUUGCACAAUGGGCGCAAUCCUGAUGCAGCCAUGCCGCGUGUAUGAAGAAGGCCUGCGGGUUUUAAAGUACUUUCAGCGGGGAGGCGUUACCCGCAGAAGAAGCACCGGCUAACUCCGUGCCAGCAGCCGCGGUAAUAC
Molecule: ribosomal RNA, 406 nt
Filed under: uncultured bacterium
Lineage: Bacteria
Description: partial 16S ribosomal RNA
Rfam family: Bacterial small subunit ribosomal RNA
Source: RNAcentral